Molecule: unclassified non-coding RNA, 251 nt
Filed under: uncultured Pleosporales
Lineage: Eukaryota; Fungi; Ascomycota; Dothideomycetes; Pleosporales
Description: sequence contains 5.8S rRNA gene, ITS2, 28S rRNA gene
Source: RNAcentral
AACGCACAUUGCGCCCCUUGGUAUUCCAUGGGGCAUGCCUGUUCGAGCGUCAUUUGUACCUUCAAGCUCUGCUUGGUGUUGGGUGUUUGUCUCGCCUCUGCGCGCAGACUCGCCUCAAAACAAUUGGCAGCCGGCGUAUUGAUUUCGGAGCGCAGUACAUCUCGCGCUUUGCACUCAUAACGACGACGUCCAAAAAGUACAUUUUUUACACUCUUGACCUCGGAUCAGGUAGGGAUACCCGCUGAACUUAA